Molecule: ribosomal RNA, 460 nt
Filed under: uncultured bacterium
Lineage: Bacteria
Description: partial 16S ribosomal RNA
Rfam family: Bacterial small subunit ribosomal RNA
Source: RNAcentral
CCUACGGGAGGCAGCAGUGAGGAAUAUUGGUCAAUGGACGAGAGUCUGAACCAGCCAAGUAGCGUGAAGGAUGACUGCCCUAUGGGUUGUAAACUUCUUUUAUAUGGGAAUAAAACGUUCCACGAGUGGGAUUUUGUAUGUACCAUAUGAAUAAGGAUCGGCUAACUCCGUGCCAGCAGCCGCGGUAAUACGGAGGAUUCGUGCGUUAUCCGGAUUUAUUGGGUUUAAAGGGAGCGUAGGUGGAUUGUUAAGUCAGUUGUGAAAGUUUGCGGCUCAACCGUAAAAUUGCAGUUGAAACUGGCAGGCUUGAGUGCAGUAGAGGUAGGCGGAAUUCGUGGUGUAGCGGUGAAAUGCGUAGAUAUCACGAAGAACUCCGAUUGCGAAGGCAGUUCACUGGACUGCAACUGACACUGAGGCUCGAAAGUGUGGGUAUCAAACAGGAUUAGAUACCCCAGUAGUC